GCUACGCUGAUGCGCUGCUACACGUGCAGCCGAGCGGUAUGGAUAGCUUGCUAUCCUGAGAGCGGCGUACGGGUGCGUAACACGUGUGCAACCUACCUUUAUCUGGGGGAUAGCCUUUCGAAAGGAAGAUUAAUACCCCAUAAUAUAAUGAUUGGCAUCAAUUAUUAUUGAAAACUCCGGUGGAUAGAGAUGGGCACGCGCAAGAUUAGAUAGUUGGUGAGGUAACGGCUCACCAAGUCUGUGAUCUUUAGGGGUCCUGAGAGGGAGAUCCCCCACACUGGUACUGAGACACGGACCAGACUCCUACGGGAGGCAGCAGUGAGGAAUAUUGGACAAUGGGUGAAAGCCUGAUCCAGCCAUCCCGCGUGAAGGAUGACGGUCCUAUGGAUUGUAAACUUCUUUUGUACAGGGAUAAACCUACUCUCGUGAGGGUAGCUGAAGGUACUGUACGAAUAAGCACCGGCUAACUCCGUGCCAGCAGCCGCGGUAAUACGGAGGGUGCAAGCGUUAUCCGGAUUUAUUGGGUUUAAAGGGUCCGUAGGCGGACCUGUAAGUCAGUGGUGAAAUCUCAUAGCUUAACUAUGAAACUGCCAUUGAUACUGCAGGUCUUGAGUAAAUUUGAAGUGGCUGGAAUAAGUAGUGUAGCGGUGAAAUGCAUAGAUAUUACUUAGAACACCAAUUGCGAAGGCAGGUCACUAAGAUUUAACUGACGCUGAUGGACGAAAGCGUGGGUAGCGAACAGGAUUAGAUACCCUGGUAGUCCACGCCGUAAACGAUGCUAACUCGUUUUUGGAUUUUCGGAUUCAGAGACCAAGCGAAAGUGAUAAGUUAGCCACCUGGGGAGUACGU
RNAcentral lists this ribosomal RNA (849 nucleotides) under uncultured bacterium. RNAcentral's name for it is "bacterial SSU rRNA". It matches the Rfam family "Bacterial small subunit ribosomal RNA", at positions 30 to 885 of the family's 1533-position model. The record is from RNAcentral.